GCCUGGGUGGCUCAGUUGGUUGAGUGUCCGACUUUGGCUCAGGUCAUGAUCGCACAGUUCAUGGGUUUGAACCCCAUGUCGGGCU
Transfer RNA from Felis catus (domestic cat), 85 nucleotides. It matches the Rfam family "tRNA". Rfam says of the family: Transfer RNA (tRNA) molecules are approximately 80 nucleotides in length. Their secondary structure includes four short double-helical elements and three loops (D, anti-codon, and T loops). Lineage: Eukaryota; Metazoa; Chordata; Mammalia; Carnivora; Felidae. The record is from Rfam.